GAUGAACGCUAGCUACAGGCUUAACACAUGCAAGUCGCGGGGCAGCAUGGGGGUUGCUUGCAAUCCCCGAUGGCGACCGGCGCACGGGUGAGUAACGCGUAUCCAACCUGCCCUUCACCACGGGAUAACCCGGCGAAAGUCGGACUAAUACCGUAUGUUGUCCAUUGACGGCAUCCGAUUUGGACGAAAGGCUUGGCGGUGAGGGAUGGGGAUGCGUCCGAUUAGCCAGACGGCGGGGUAACGGCCCACCGUGGCUACGAUCGGUAGGGGUUCUGAGAGGAAGGGCCCCCACACUGGAACUGAGACACGGUCCAGACUCCUACGGGAGGCAGCAGUGAGGAAUAUUGGUCAAUGGGCGUAAGCCUGAACCAGCCAAGUAGCGUGCAGGAUGACGGCCCUAUGGGUUGUAAACUGCUUUUAUGCGGGGAUAAAGUGGCCCACGUGUGGGCUUUUGCAGGUACCGCAUGAAUAAGGACCGGCUAAUUCCGU
Molecule: ribosomal RNA, 489 nt
Filed under: uncultured bacterium
Lineage: Bacteria
Description: partial 16S ribosomal RNA
Rfam family: Bacterial small subunit ribosomal RNA
Source: RNAcentral